GCAGGAGUGACGGAACUGGAAUACGUACCUGCCUUAGAAGCAGGGUUUUGAGGGUUCGACCCCCUUCUCCUGUA
This 74-nucleotide transfer RNA is filed under the name Lachnospiraceae bacterium. Its description in RNAcentral is "tRNA-Leu". It matches the Rfam family "tRNA". Rfam says of the family: Transfer RNA (tRNA) molecules are approximately 80 nucleotides in length. Their secondary structure includes four short double-helical elements and three loops (D, anti-codon, and T loops). Lineage: Bacteria; Bacillati; Bacillota; Clostridia; Lachnospirales; Lachnospiraceae. The record is from RNAcentral.